RNAcentral lists this ribosomal RNA (253 nucleotides) under Candidatus Aminicenantota bacterium. Its description in RNAcentral is "Candidatus Aminicenantes bacterium partial 16S ribosomal RNA". It matches the Rfam family "Bacterial small subunit ribosomal RNA", at positions 1292 to 1533 of the family's 1533-position model. The record is from RNAcentral. Lineage: Bacteria; Candidatus Aminicenantota.
UUCGGAUUGGGGUCUGCAACUCGACCCCAUGAAGUCGGAAUCGCUAGUAAUCGCGUAACAGCAUGACGCGGUGAAUACGUUCCCGGGCCUUGUACACACCGCCCGUCACACCAUGGGAGUUGGGUUUACCCGAAGGCGGUGCGCCAACCUCGCAAGAGGAGGCAGCCGACCACGGUGAGCUCAGCGACUGGGGUGAAGUCGUAACAAGGUAGCCGUAGGGGAACCUGCGGCUGGAUCACCUCCUUUCUAAGGA